UACGUAGGCAGCGAGCGUUGUUCGGAGUUACUGGGCGUAAAGGGCGUGUAGGCGGUUUUCUAAGUUUGGUGUGAAAUCUCCCGGCUCAACCGGGAGGGUGCGCCGAAAACUGGGAGACUAGAGUGCGGGAUGGGAGAGUAGAAUUCCUGGUGUAGCGGUGAAAUGCGUAGAUAUCAGGAGGAAUACCGGUGGUGUAGCCGGCUCUCUGGACCGCCACUGACGCUGAGACACGAAAGCGUGGGUAGCAAACAGG
RNAcentral lists this ribosomal RNA (253 nucleotides) under uncultured bacterium. RNAcentral's name for it is "partial 16S ribosomal RNA". It matches the Rfam family "Bacterial small subunit ribosomal RNA", at positions 524 to 776 of the family's 1533-position model. The record is from RNAcentral.